This 433-nucleotide ribosomal RNA is filed under the name uncultured bacterium. RNAcentral's name for it is "partial 16S ribosomal RNA". It matches the Rfam family "Bacterial small subunit ribosomal RNA", at positions 29 to 507 of the family's 1533-position model. The record is from RNAcentral.
AACGAACGCUGGCGGCAUGCCUAACACAUGCAAGUCGAACGAGACCUUCGGGUCUAGUGGGGCACGGGUGUGUAACGCGUGGGAACAUGCCCUUAGGUUCGGAAUAUCUCUCCGAAAGGGGUGCUCAUACUGGAUAAUGUCUUCGGACCAACGAUUUAUCGCCUUUGGUUGGGCCUGCGUUGGAUUAGCUGGUUGGUAGGGUAAAAGCCUACCAAGGUGUCGUUCCAUAGCUGGUCUGAGAAGAUGAUCAGCCACACUGGAACUGAGACACGGCCCAGACUCCUACGGGAGGCAGCAGUGGAGAAUAUUAUGCAAUGAGCGAAAGCCUAAUCCAGCAAUGCCGCGUAAGUGAUGAAGGCCGUAGGGUUGUAAAUCUCUUUUACCCGAAGUGAUAAUGACGGUACCGGGAGAAUAAGCUCCGGCUAACUCCGUG